Molecule: long non-coding RNA, 1222 nt
Organism: Vespula pensylvanica (western yellowjacket)
Lineage: Eukaryota; Metazoa; Arthropoda; Insecta; Hymenoptera; Vespidae
Exons: 6
Source: RefSeq, a predicted model, not a curated record
GUUCCUUGGAAGGAUGGUUGCAGGAAAGAAUCUUAAAGGUCCUCGCCUGCUCUUCUACUGUACUUGCAAUUAUUUAAUUAGAGGAUAUACCUCCAUUAGCAGAAAGAAGAUUAUCAGUAUGUUUCCAGAAUUACAUAUAGAAAUGGAUUUUUUUUUGCAAGUCCUUAAUAUUAUGUCAGCUUGUUAUAUCAUUAGUGCAUUUUCAAGUUAAUUUAUGAAGUCAAUCUGCAGCAAUUUCAACCUACUUUAUUUUCAAUCUACUUCGGUGUAAAUCUACCUUAUUUUCAACCUACUGCGAAUCAAUAUACUUACUAAAUUGGACCCACAGCGUGGACGAGUCUUCUAGAUCCCAGAACUUUCUAAGUAAGAACCAUAAAUGCAAUCUGAGCUAUGACGAGUAAUAAUCGUUACAAUGGAAUUUGUAUAGGUUUUACAUCUUAUUUAGAAUCAGUACAUCAUGGAAAAUUAUCAAGAAUUGUAUGGAGGAAUUAAGUAAAAAAUUAUCAUUACUUUCCAAGUAAAUUUACUAUAAUUUCAAUCAACUUCGUUUCUAUUACUUUUCGAUGUCAAUCUAUCACAUUCGGGAUCUAUUAUGGAUCGAUCAAUUUCCUUCAUUAUCAACUUACAACGCGAAAAUGUAUUUAAGAGCCACUGUAGAACAUCUUAAGUGAACACGAGAACACAGCAGAAGUGAUUAAACAAAAGUCAAUUCAAUCGUAUUUCGAAACUAAAACGUGUCAUUGAAUACAACAAAGGAAUAAUUGGAAAAUAUACGAAAUCAUAUUAAGAAGUUUUCUUUUAUGUAUUUGAUAUUGCACUUUUUAAUUCACAUAGUUUGUUCGACAAAAUAAAUAAUAGAAAAAAACAGAAUUACGCUGAUUAUAGAAUUGAUAUGGCCAAUCAUUACUGAAAAAUGUACCGUUACCAGAAUAUAAAGGACGAGGACGAUUAUUAAUCGGAGAUUUACCACAGAGAUCGCACGCGAAACGUUUGGAUUAUUUUCCCAAGUAUAUUGACCCAACACCAUCAAAAUCAAAGCCAUCAAGAGCCUAUAAAAUUGAUUCGAUAAAAAUAAAAAUAAAAAAUAAAAAAAAAAGUGAGUGCAAAAGACACAAAAUUACAUUACAAAUACCAAUGUGCUUAUCGAAAGAUACCAUACGAUCGAAGAUUAUUAAUUUUCUAUAAACUUUGUCCAAACGUUAAUAAUUUAAAAUAAAGAAUU